CGCCGAGGCCCGCCCCACUGGCGGUGGCGCCUGUAGGGGCGGAGGAGAGCGCCUCUGCGCAAGCGCCGUCGCGCGCUCGCCGCCGAGGGAAGUUACUGCGCAGGUUUGCGUGGAGCUUGCUGAAGUACGACUGGGUCUCAAAGGGUUGGGGUUGUUGCUUUGUGGACUUUUUACUAUUUUUAAUGCCCGCAAAUACUGCUUACUGGACGCUUGUGCUACACUGGCCGCAAUGCUAAGCACACAUUUACUGCGUUCACUCAACAGUCCUAGAUUGGAGUGCAGCAAAGAGACGUUCAUCCUCGGGAUGUGGCAUAAAUGACACAAGCUGGCAGUCAGCUGGAAGAUAAAGCAAAUGUAUGAGAGGUCAUCCAUUACUAGGGAGAUGAAAGAGAUCACUCCAGAAUUCCUCCAAGUGGAAUAGCUGGGUUCAAGAAUAUGUGCAUUUUGUGGCCAAGUUGCCCUCCAAAAAGGGGAAUCAAUUUACACUCCCAUUAGCAGCCAACUUGGGAGAGUGUAUUUUCCUACAUCUUUGCCAACAAUGAGUGGGCAGCAACAGCUUUUUCUUCCCAGGCCCGGUUUUCGGGUGUUUGGUAAGUCUAUGUAGAAGGUCAGGGUGAGAUAUAGCCCCGGGAUGGGGGGAUGGUGGGGGAAACUCUCCACCCUGCUGCAGUCGCGAUUGGGCCAGCUGGGCACGUGAUCACGCUGGGCCAAUCAGAGCCCUUCCCCAGGGUCUUGAAAUUGGAUGGAGCCCCUGCCUUCUGGAAAGGAGUUGGCCAGUAGAUAGCUAGCUGUUGCUUGAUGGUUCCAGUGGCUGAGAAGGAGAAAAAGCUGAUUUUUAGGGAGUGAGAAUAAUGAAGUAUAUGCUCAAAGAGAAGCAGAGACGAAAGAAGGAAAGAGGGAUGUGCAUGCUCCCCCAGCACUCAGGUACCUGAUUGCACCUGAUCCUGAGACAAGCAUGUUUCUACACUUGGGUUCCCUUUUGCUUUAGCUGGCUCCAGGCAAUGUUACUGAUCCCAAAGGGACUUCAGUACUGUUGUCUACAGAUGCUGUUACAAUGAUCGAACCUUCUGGAAGUGUCUAUCUGGAAGUGUUUGUGCAAUUUACUCUCUGAAUACUUCCUUUUUUUGCUCAUCACUGUUGUUUGUUUUUUAUUUUUUAAAGAUUUUGUUUAUUUCUUUUAUAGAGAGAAAGAGAGAUCACGAGGAGAUCAGAGGGGAGGCAGAGGGAGAAAGAAUCUGAAGUUGACUCUAUACUGAGCUCAGAGCCGGACUCAGGGCUCAUCCCACAACCAUGAUGAGAUUAUGACCUGAGUUGAAACCAAGAGUCAUUCAGACCCCCAACAGACUGAGCCACCUAGGCAACCCCAGUGUUCGUUUUUUAGAGUAACUUUUUAAAUUGAAGGAUAGCAUACACAUAGCAGAUGCUCAUUCUUUAAAAGACCUAUUUGCAAUUAUUUUUAAAUUCAUUAUUCAAAAUUAAGUAUAGAACAAAUUGGUCAAUUCUCUCCAAAAAAUUUGCUGGAAACAUUCCCAGUGUUGGUAGGUAACGGGGGAGUGGAGAUAAAUUAAGUUUAGUCUCUGUGGCACCUGGGUGGCUCAGUCGGUUAAAUGUCUGCCUCUAGGUCACAAUCCCAGAGUCCUGGGAUAGAGCCCCACAAUGGGCUCCCUGCUCAGUGGGGAGCCUGCUUCUCCCUCUCCCUCUGCCCGCCCCCUCAUGUUUGCUCUUUCUCUCUAGUGUUCACUCUCUCUCUCUCUGAAAUAAAUAAAAUCUUUAAAAAACAUAUAAAAAAUUUUAAAAAGUUAAGUUUAGUCUGUAUCAGCCAGAGUUCACAACCUAUUGUGAGUGGGUGGAUGGGUGUGGAGAAAGACAUACAAUUAAAU
Molecule: long non-coding RNA, 1880 nt
Organism: Mustela lutreola (European mink)
Lineage: Eukaryota; Metazoa; Chordata; Mammalia; Carnivora; Mustelidae
Exons: 4
Source: RefSeq, a predicted model, not a curated record